AGAGUUUGAUCCUGGCUCAGAUUGAACGCUGGCGGCAUGCUUUACACAUGCAAGUCGAACGGCAGCGCGGGGCAACCUGGCGGCGAGUGGCGAACGGGUGAGUAAUAUAUCGGAACGUACCCAAGAGUGGGGGAUAACGUAGCGAAAGUUACGCUAAUACCGCAUACGAUCUAAGGAUGAAAGCAGGGGAUCUUCGGACCUUGUGCUCCUGGAGCGGCCGAUAUCUGAUUAGCUAGUUGGUGAGGUAAAGGCUCACCAAGGCCACGAUCAGUAGCUGGUCUGAGAGGACGACCAGCCACACUGGAACUGAGACACGGUCCAGACUCCUACGGGAGGCAGCAGUGGGGAAUUUUGGACAAUGGGCGAAAGCCUG
Molecule: ribosomal RNA, 373 nt
Filed under: uncultured bacterium
Lineage: Bacteria
Description: bacterial SSU rRNA
Rfam family: Bacterial small subunit ribosomal RNA
Source: RNAcentral